Molecule: ribosomal RNA, 253 nt
Filed under: uncultured bacterium
Lineage: Bacteria
Description: partial 16S ribosomal RNA
Rfam family: Bacterial small subunit ribosomal RNA
Source: RNAcentral
GACAGAGGUGGCAAGCGUUGUUCGGAUUCAUUGGGUGUAAAGGGUUCGUAGGUGGCCCAUUAAGUCUGACGUGAAAUCCCAGAGCUCAACUCUGGAACUGCGUUGGAAACUAUUGGGCUUGAGUGCCGGAGAGGUUAGGGGAAUUCCAGGUGUAAGGGUGAAAUCUGUAGAUAUCUGGAGGAACACCAGUGGCGAAGGCGCCUAACUGGCCGGUUACUGACGCUGAGGAACGAAAGCAAGGGGAGCAAACAGG